UACGUAGGGGGCAAGCGUUGUCCGGAUCUAUUGGGCGUAAAGAGCGUGUAGGCGGCCAAGCAGGUCCGCUGUGAAAACUCGAGGCUCAACCUCGAGAGGUCGGUGGAAACCGUUUGGCUAGAGUCCGGAAGAGGAGAGUGGAAUUCCCGGUGUAGCGGUGAAAUGCGCAGAUAUCGGGAAGAACACCCGUGGCGAAGGCGGCUCUCUGGGACGGUACUGACGCUGAGACGCGAAAGCGUGGGGAGCGAACAGG
This 253-nucleotide ribosomal RNA is filed under the name uncultured bacterium. Its description in RNAcentral is "partial 16S ribosomal RNA". It matches the Rfam family "Bacterial small subunit ribosomal RNA", at positions 524 to 776 of the family's 1533-position model. The record is from RNAcentral.